AUAACCGGAACCAAUGAACGACGCUGCGGGACCCCCCGUCUCCGGGAGCGGCCAGCGCCUCUGCCAGGUGCCUGUUAUUCGACGGCCCUGGCCAGUAAGCGAUGCCCAGCCGGGUGCCCAGACGCUGGCGUCCUGGCCGCUGCUUCGUCGCGAUCCCCUGCACUCCGGACGCCUUCCCUCUUCCCCCACUGACUCCCCGCCCUCGGCAGAGCCUCUCGAAGGCACCCACUUAGGUCUGCUCCUCGGUGUUCCACGCUGAGCAAUGCGGUGGUUUCUCUUCCGUGCCGCAGAAGAGCCAGCAGGGUCUGCAGAGCAGGGUACUGGGCUGUGUGUUUUUUGUUGUUGUUUUGUUUUUCUUUUGGAGACUGCUUGAAAAAGUCAGCAGCAGCAGCAAUGCGGUAUUGAGUCUGCCUCUGGUGUUGCUUUUGCAAAGGCAGCUGGCAGCGAGUCUCACCGGUUCAGAGCCCCACUGAGCACAGUAUCCCAGGGGAGUCUGCUAGAGAGGAUUCUUUGAGAGCCAUAAUACCUAGCAGUAUUAGUGGUCCCUAAUUAGUAUGCAGAAACCUCUAAGUCUAAUGUGUAUUUUUUGAGAGGUGAGAGGAAGACUUUUUCAGUGAUGGAUAGUAUUUGCUAGUGGGAGCAUCACCGGGUGACAAAGGGUGCAGAAAGCUCAGCAGGUAACCAGGAGUAUACCUACAAUUUACUUGGUGCAGAAUGUUCAGUGCUUGUAUUCGAGCAGCACAGUUCUGAUACACUGCAUCAGCACCUUUUAAAAAAUAUGGAACAUUCUUGAAAUUAUUGAAAACUUGCGAACACGUGUGGUAAAGUUAGGUAGCCGACUGAAUCCUUUUAAAGCUUUCCCUUGUCCUGUACAGUUGGUAGGUUGUGGUUUAAGUAAUGUAAGGAUCUUGAAAUGGGUUUCUUUUACGAAAGUAGUGGAGUGAAAGUAAGCUUUGGGGUUGUACUUUGUUUUUAAAAGUAAUCUGUAGAUUUUACAUAAUUGCAGAACUAAAAAGGAAAAGUAAAUGACACAAGAUGACCCAUCAUUCAUUUAUCAAAAGUGGUAGUCCAGCGGACGUUUGAAAGUUACCAACAGCUGCUGUGAGCGGUGCUCAGGAGCUGUGUUCUUUAGAGCAAGGCAGCUAUUCUCUGGGUUCUCUGACAGGAUGUUUACUGUGAGGAGGCUGUCGGUACACUUUCCAAGCUCUUUGGAACUUGUAGUGUAUGGAACUUAAUGAUCAGACUAUUUAACUUGCUUUAUUUUACCCUGAAAUAUAUCAAGGUAUCUGCCCCUUACAUGGAGCUUGAAACAUCAAACCUAUCCCUGGGUAAUUUUGAUAAAAUGAUUUACAGAAUGGUCAGUAUCAGGAGUGUAAUGUGGUUUGAGAGGAUAAGUUGGGUGGUAUUAUUCUUGAACAUAUAAUUCUUACAGUGGUUGUUUUGAAAGUAACAAGGGAAAACUGUAAUGUGAAGGUGUAAUGUCUCAUGCAGGAGGGAGUGUGGCUUUUGGUUUCUUGAGCAGAAGGUUUGGUUAGUAACUCAUGGAAGGGCACAUAAUUCAGAAAAUGUAGUGUUUAUUAACCACACGCAGUGUAUUGUAUAUCAUGUAGACUGUAUCAAGAAAAUUAGUUAAGAUGGAAUUGUAUUUUGCUAAGUUGUUUAUAAUCCUUCCUUUUGAAGACUAAAUUCCUCUGAGUUAUUUAUGGUAUGGUGAAAAAGGAAUGGUGAUUGUUAGUGCAUAAAAAAUCCGAUAGAUCACACAAAACGAGUUUGUGCUGUAGUGCUUUAAAAUAAGUUUACUCUGAUCAUAUUAACCCUGGGAUUAAUUUUUAAUAUUCUUAUUCUUUUCCUUUGUUAGAACAUUGAUUUUUGACAAUCCCAACUUCUCCAUGUAAAAUUUAGGAUAAUCAGACUACACAGUGUACAAGUUAAGUUGUUGUCACUUUAAUCGUUUAUGUAAAUACAGUCAGUAGCACUGGUAUCUGGGAAAAGGUAAGUCGAAAGUCCAUGAUAAAGUUAGAACAUAUUGAAAAUGUCUUUGAAUUGUAUGGUCUGUGUGAGGCUCCUUUCUAUUCUUCUGAUUUUAUGAAUAGUGCUUUCUUCUAUGGGUCCCAUUUGUAAAUGUUGCACUGAACCCAGAACGUAAUUAAUUAUUGUUAUUGUUCACUUCAGGCAGUAGAACCAUAGACUAAAGUUAAAAAAUACUGCUUUAUCAGAAUCUAGGCAGUAUUAAUGGAUACAAAUGUAGCAGAGAGUUUCAGUAAUAAAACUAAACUUCAUGUGAAUUUUGUAAGCGGGAAAUUCUUGUAAGAAUUUUGAGAGACUUGUUCUCUCUGGCUCUGCAUUAAAGAUGUCAUUUAACAGAGUGAAUUCUUAAUAGCUCUGAAAAUGACAAAGGCAUUUUAUCUUCUCUUUUCCUCUUCAGAUUAGUAUUUUAAAUACUUCCAUUAGGAACUUCCUAAGAGUUUCCCUCUUACUAAUAAAAUCUAGAAAACAUUCUUUUCCACUGAAGUUUACCUUUUAAGAGUUUUACUUUAGAGGUUUAGUGUAUUUUAAGAAUACGCUGUCUUUAAAUCAUCUAUCGUAUGCAUAGUUUUGAGCAAGCAGGUGUUCUUAUAGAGAGACUAUGUCAAAUCAUCAAAAUAAACAGACCCAUUGUCAUAAGAAUAGUGGUUUAUAUUUUCCUUUUUUAUAUCACCUUUUCAGGAUUCAUUGUGCGCAAAUGUUUUGAUAAGAUGAAACCAUUAAAUAUUUACAAUGCUAUGUAGUAACGGCUUAAGUUAUAUAUGUGGCAUAUAUAUAAUUUUAAUAAUAACAAUACAUAUACUUUUAGGGUUCUUUGAAAGUGAUUGAAAUUUAAAGCAAAUUAGCAAUUGGUUUUUAAAAUUUAAUUUAAUUUUAUGGAUGCAUUGAAGCAUAUGGAAGUUCUUGGGCCAGGGAUUGAAUCGGAGCAGCAGCUGUGGCAACACGAGAUCCUCUAGCCCACUGGGCUGGCUAGGGAUGGAAUCCACACCUCCCCAGCGACCCAAACUGCUGCAGUCAGAUUCUUAACCCACUGUGCCACAGUGGGAACUACAGGGAUUGGUUAUAGAGAGCUUGUUGAUUAUAAUCAAAAAGUAGUAAUUCAAAACAUCACUUUUCCAAACAGAUUUAGUAGAGUCAAUGAAUUGACUCCUAGUGAGGAGUAAUUGACCUUAUCCAGAUAUGGUCCCUGAAAAAUAAUUUAUGAAAAAGGACAAUGAAAAAAAACCCCAUAUUAUGUAUAUACAUACAUACAUGUAUCAUAUAUGUAUAUAUAUAAAACAUUUAUCCUGGCAAAAUAUGUGGAAUAAUUGAAACAUUAAAAUACUUUUUUUAUAUGUAGUUGUUUCAGAAUUUUUAAAAACAAAUUUUAACUUUAGAAAUGUUUGCUUUUAUUAUUGUUUUAUGAAUGAAUGUAACCUUCUUUAGUGUCUAUAUAAAGGUUUUAACUAUAAUACUUUACACUAAUUUGGUAUGUUACUAGGAAUGUAAAAUGCGUAUUUUAUUUAAUUAAUUAAUUAAUUUUUUUGUCUUUUUGCCAUUUCUAGGGCCGCUCCCGAGGCAUAUGGAGGUUUCCAGGCUAGGGGUCUAAUUGGAGAUGUAGCUGCCAGCCUACGCCAGAGCCACAGCAACGUGGGAUCUGAGCAUCCCAGCCGCGUCUGCGACCUACACCACAGCUCACGGCAACGCCCGAUCGUUAACCUACUGAGCAAGGCCAGGGAUCGAACCCGCAACCUCAUGGUUCCCAGUCGGAUUCGUUAACCACUGCGCCACGACGGGAACUCCGUGGAAUGUAAAAUGCAUAUUUUAAAACAUGUCUCUUGGGAGUAUUAAAAUUCCAGUGGAAAUUUAAAAUAUUCUUUAUUCAAAAGUAUUAAUACCAUUUGGAAGAGCCACUUUACUCUCUAGUGUUAAACACAUCUAUGUAGUGGGGCUUUCAUUAAUUCAGAUGAAAAUAUCUCACGUGAGUGUGAUUGCCAUUGGAAAAAAGUUAAACUUCACUUUUAAUUAUCGCGCCUUGCCUCUCAACAUUUACCCGGCAAAUAUUGUCAAUUAUUUUUAUUAGUAGUUGACUUGAGUACAGUAUGCAUAUGUUGCUUUGAGUAAAAUGUGUGAUGAGUUUACACACGUUAAUCUUUUCAUUGUGACAGUAGUCAAAUUCAUAGUGUAGUUCCUGUGGUAAUAGAAACUGUUGUUCCUCCUUUAGUGAAGUUACUCUUUUUGAAUUUAGCUUAGGGUUUCCUGAAGCCACCUUUUGAUGACUAGGUCUUCUGUUUGUGUCCUCUCUUCCUUUCCUGAAGCUCUCGUUUACCAGCGCCUUUCUUUACCAGUCUUGGGCCAUUGCUGUAGGUUGUUUUUUCUUUUUCCUGUCGCUAACUGCAGAAUUAAAGGAUAAUUCUCUUAUCCCCUUUGAUCUAGUCUAUUCUGACCAUUUAAGAAUGAGUGGUAAUCUUACUGGUUCGGAGACAUUGCAUCCUUUGUACUCUUUUUGAGAAUACCUUGGCAGAACUGAUUGGUGUCUCUUGGGGGUCCCUUGGCACAGAAAAAAUGCAGAGGGUCAGCGGGAAAAGUGGGUUCAGGAUUUUGCUUAAUUUUAACAAUAGGAAGAUCCACAGGAAUUCUUCCUUUUUUUUUCCCCCUGGUACACUUUAUUUCUAGGAUACUAGGGAACAACAAAAUUAAUUCUACUCUGCUGUCAAAUCUCUUCUUGGCAUCAGAGGCAUCAAGCUCUGAUUUUCUGAGGUAACCAACGUCUCCCACAUUGGGUAAGCCUUGCAUUAUAUCACAUAGAAAUUCUUUUGAUUUGCUAAAGGCUUGCUUUGUGAUUGGGUACGUGCUAAGGUUUUUUUGGUUAAUUUAGACUUUUGGGUAUAUCAAGCAUUUUGGAUAUUGCCCUACUCCUUGGUAAUGAUGCAUAGAAGUCUGUAUUGGUGUAUGUGGUGGCUAAAAUAUGAACUCAUAAAGCUAAUGUUAAAAUCAACAUUAAGCCGUUCUUGAUACUCACCAGAAUUUGGACUUUACCUUAUCGAGACCCUCCUAGGAGAUUACUCUGGAUGAAUCAGAUUUCAUCCACCAAGCAGUUAUUAAGCAUGUGUGGAAUACCACACAGUAGGAAUGCGGAAAAAAAAAAAAAAAA
Molecule: long non-coding RNA, 5158 nt
Filed under: Sus scrofa (pig)
Lineage: Eukaryota; Metazoa; Chordata; Mammalia; Artiodactyla; Suidae
Description: lncRNA (ENSSSCG00000059477.1)
Source: RNAcentral